CACAAUCUUCAUCAUCACACAAGACACAACAACAACAAUGAACAACAUCAUCAUCCUCAUCUGGACUCUCACACUGUUUGCUCAAGAGAGUAGAGGACAGUACACUGUAACUCAGAGUCCAUCAAUAACAGCAGCUCAACCAGGACAAGAAGUCAGAAUAAACUGUAAAACCAGCAGUAAUGUGCAUGGUGGUUAUUAUUUAGCCUGGUAUUUACAGAAACCUGGAGAAGCUCCUAAACUCCUCAUAUAUUAUGCAACAAGCCGUUUCACUGGAACUCCAUCUAGAUUCAGUGGCAGUGGAUCUAACAGUGAUUUCACUCUGACCAUCAGUGGAGUCCAGACUGAAGAUACAGGACAUUAUUACUGUCAGAGUGCUCACUGUCCUAGUAGUUGUGUGUUCACACAGUGAUAAAGAGUCGUACAAAAACCUCCGUCAGUCAGAGUCACAGUGACUGCACUGAUACAGCUGAGAGAUACUGCAGCUGCUGAUGGAUGACAACACAAAUAUUAUAGCAAAAAUUAGAGAGAUUUAAUAGAA
Carassius auratus (goldfish) is the source of this 538-nucleotide non-coding RNA. The record is from the annotation of a RefSeq genome assembly. Lineage: Eukaryota; Metazoa; Chordata; Actinopteri; Cypriniformes; Cyprinidae.